UCUAUGGGUGGCAGCAGUAGGGAAUCUUCCACAAUGGACGAAAGUCUGAUGGAGCAACGCCGCGUGAGUGAAGAAGGGUUUCGGCUCGUAAAGCUCUGUUGGUAGUGAAGAAAGAUAGAGGUAGUAACUGGCCUUUAUUUGACGGUAAUUACUUAGAAAGUCACGGCUAACUACGUGCCAGCAGCCGCGGUAAUACGUAGGUGGCAAGCGUUGUCCGGAUUUAUUGGGCGUAAAGCGAGUGCAGGCGGUUCAAUAAGUCUGAUGUGAAAGCCUUCGGCUCAACCGGAGAAUUGCAUCAGAAACUGUUGAAUUUGAGUGCAGAAGAGGAGAGUGGAACUCCAUGUGUAGCGGUGGAAUGCGUAGAUAUAUGGAAGAACACCAGUGGCGAAGGCAUCUCACGAAUCCGCGAUUGACGCUGAUGCACGAAAGCGUGGGUAUCAAACAGGAUUAGAUACCCCUGUAGUC
This 465-nucleotide ribosomal RNA is filed under the name uncultured bacterium. RNAcentral's name for it is "partial 16S ribosomal RNA". It matches the Rfam family "Bacterial small subunit ribosomal RNA", at positions 338 to 795 of the family's 1533-position model. The record is from RNAcentral.